Molecule: ribosomal RNA, 208 nt
Filed under: uncultured bacterium
Lineage: Bacteria
Description: partial 16S ribosomal RNA
Rfam family: Bacterial small subunit ribosomal RNA
Source: RNAcentral
CGCGUAGGCGGCUUGUCGGGUCUGAUGUGAAAGCCCGGGGCUCAACCCCCGGAAGUGCAUUGGAAACUGGCAAGCUUGAGUUCGGAAGAGGAGGGCAAAAUUCCCGGUGUAGGGGUGGAAUCCGUAGAUAUCGGGAGGAAAAUCAGUGGCGAAGGCAGCCCUCUGGUACGAAACUGACGCUAAGGCGCGAAAGCGUGGGGAGCAAACA